GGGCCCAUGGUCUAGUGGCAGGACAUAACCUUCACAGGGUUAGGGCAGGGGUUCAAUUCCUCUUGGGCCCA
RNAcentral lists this transfer RNA (71 nucleotides) under Candidatus Woesearchaeota archaeon. RNAcentral's name for it is "tRNA-Val". It matches the Rfam family "tRNA". Rfam says of the family: Transfer RNA (tRNA) molecules are approximately 80 nucleotides in length. Their secondary structure includes four short double-helical elements and three loops (D, anti-codon, and T loops). Lineage: Archaea; Nanobdellati; Candidatus Woesearchaeota. The record is from RNAcentral.